UCAUAUAGAUAGCUGGAUUUGUAGUUCAGACAAUAGCAAAAAUAAAAUUGUCGCAGAAACAGUCGCAAUAUGCAGCUAUGCUCAUUGUGGAUACAACUAAUAAAAUAAAUUAUUCAUAGCUUUUUGACCAAAAAAAUCGAAUUGAAUAUUCCUGAGUGACAUGGUUCAAAAAUUUUUCUUAAACCCUGAAAGGGUAUUUAGAAGUCAUACAAUAGACUUUAACUACAAAGACAAUUCCACAUUCCUCUGA
Molecule: non-coding RNA, 250 nt
Organism: Cinara cedri
Lineage: Eukaryota; Metazoa; Arthropoda; Insecta; Hemiptera; Aphididae
Source: the annotation of a GenBank genome assembly